This 253-nucleotide ribosomal RNA is filed under the name uncultured bacterium. Its description in RNAcentral is "partial 16S ribosomal RNA". It matches the Rfam family "Bacterial small subunit ribosomal RNA", at positions 524 to 776 of the family's 1533-position model. The record is from RNAcentral.
UACGUAGGUGGCAAGCGUUGUCCGGAUUUAUUGGGCGUAAAGCGAGCGCAGGCGGUUCCUUAAGUCUGAUGUGAAAGACCCCGGCUCAACCGGGUAGGGUCAGUGGAAACUGGGGAGCUUGAGUGCAGAAGAGGAGAGUGGAAUUCCAUGUGUAGCGGUGAAAUGCGUAGAGAUAUGGAGGAACACCAGUGGCGAAGGCGACUCUCUGGUCUGUAACUGACGCUGAGGCUCGAAAGCGUGGGUAGCAAACAGG